GAUGAACGCUGGCGGCGUGCCUAAUACAUGCCAGUCGAGCGAACAGAUGAGGAGCUUGCUCCUCUGACGUUAGCGGCGGACGGGUGAGUAACACGUGGAUAACCUACCUAUAAGACUGGGAUAACUUCGGGAAACCGGAGCUAAUACCGGAUAAUAUAUUGAACCGCAUGGUUCAAUAGUGAAAGACGGUUUUGCUGUCACUUAUAGAUGGAUCCGCGCCGCAUUAGCUAGUUGGUAAGGUAACGGCUUACCAAGGCAACGAUGCGUAGCCGACCUGAGAGGGUGAUCGGCCACACUGAACUGAGACACGGUCCAGACUCCUACGGGAGGCAGCAGUAGGGAAUCUUCCGCAAUGGGCGAAAGCCUGACGGAGCAACGCCGCGUGAGUGAUGAAGGUCUUCGGAUCGUAAAACUCUGUUAUUAGGGAAGAACAAAUGUGUAAGUAACUAUGCACGUCUUGACGGUACCUAAUCAGAAAGCCACGGCUAACUACGUG
This 496-nucleotide ribosomal RNA is filed under the name uncultured bacterium. Its description in RNAcentral is "partial 16S ribosomal RNA". It matches the Rfam family "Bacterial small subunit ribosomal RNA", at positions 28 to 507 of the family's 1533-position model. The record is from RNAcentral.